This 1555-nucleotide long non-coding RNA is filed under the name Macaca fascicularis (crab-eating macaque). RNAcentral's name for it is "lncRNA (ENSMFAG00000063417.1)". The record is from RNAcentral. Lineage: Eukaryota; Metazoa; Chordata; Mammalia; Primates; Cercopithecidae.
UGGAGAAGACCAGCAAAGAGAGCAGAGUAUGUAUGUGAACUUCAGUUCUGUAUUUUUAGUGAGGUGGGUUAAUGGAUUUUUAGUGAAAAGAAAUCUCAAACACAGCUGACCUGAAAGACUGGAAUUUUAGCUCUCUUCCUUCCCGGGGUUCUUUUUCCUCCCCCUUCCUCUCAAAGCCCUUUAAACCAGAUUGCUGGGUCAGUGACUCUUAUCCUGCCCGCCAGUUUCAAGGGUUUCUAGCUUUUUUGGCUUGGAAAGGAAAACUACUACCUGUAAGUAUCUGUUUUAUGUGUUUUUUUUUCAUCGUGACUGUGAAUGUUCUGUUAGUAGAAUGCCCCAGAGAUUGUUUAUGUGAUAUCAUUAAUGCCAAGUAACAAUGCAAGGCGUCUGCAAGAGUAGGCUUGCAAAAGUUUAAUUCUCCUGUUAACUCAGAAGGUGGCAACUUGCAGUGUUAGCAAACCAAAUGCCAAAAACGGGAUUCUUUUUAUUACGUGACACAAAUUUCUAACUCUCUUCUCAGUCCAUCCGCUCUGGCACUUGCCAAUGAAAUAAGCAUUUUUUAACUGUGUAAUUUUUUCCUCUGAAAUUAGAAUGUUUCUUCUCAGCUAAAUGAAAUGUCAAAGGGAAAAGACACAAAAAUGAACGAAACAGAUAAUAUCCUCACGGUACAAACAGAGAAAUUUGGAUGAGAUAAUUUUGGAUACCUUUGCUUUAGUUUAGUUAUAUUUGGAGACAUAUUUUCAAAAACAUGAUUUCUAUUUCAUUUUGGGGAAGAGAGAUAGUGCUGGGGAGGCAAAGAAAUGGCAUUGUUCUGAAGUUUUGGACUGAUUUUUAGGCUCUCUCAGCUCAGUACUGAGAUUUGGUCCAGAGACUUUGGUGCUUUCGUAAAGAGUUUCUUUUCAUUUUAUUUUGAAAUCCAGGAAACAAUUUCUGGCUUACGGAAAUAGUUCAUUGUUUUUAUGGUAUUUAAUUUUAAUUUUUGAUUUUUUUUUGUUAUUACUAUUGUACCCAGUCUUGUUGCUUGGUGUGCAUUACAAAGCUUAAAAAGAGCAUUUCCGGGAGCCAGUUGGUGUUUAUAGCCUGGGAAUCUUGCUGGAGAGAUUAACCUCUGUGGGGCUGCUUCACAGACCAGAGCUAGUGAUUCAAAUGCUCUUCAGGUUUCUGCUCUGGAAAACUGACACCCGCUGUUCCUGACUCUAGGUAAAGCUUGAAGAGCUGUGCCUCAGCCCCCUGCUUACACUUGACAAAGGUGCCUUCAGGCCGGGCGCGGUGGCUCAAGCCUGUAAUCCCAGCACUUUGGGAGGCCAAGACGGGUGGAUCACGAGGUUAGGAGAUCGAGACCAUCCUGGCUAACAUGGUGAAACCCCGUCUCUACUAAAAAAUACAAAAAACUAGCCGGGUGAGGUGGCGGGCCCUUGUAGUCCCAGCUACUCGGGAGGCUGAGGCAGGAGAAUGACGUGAACCUGGGAGGCGGAGCUUGCAGUGAGCUGAGAUCCGGCCACUGCACUCCAGCCUGGGCGGCAGAGCGAGACUCCGUCUCAAAAAAAAAAAAAAA